This 500-nucleotide ribosomal RNA is filed under the name uncultured bacterium. RNAcentral's name for it is "partial 16S ribosomal RNA". It matches the Rfam family "Bacterial small subunit ribosomal RNA", at positions 30 to 523 of the family's 1533-position model. The record is from RNAcentral.
AUUGAGCGCUGGCGGCAUGCCUUACACAUGCAAGUCGAACGGCAGCACGGGAGCAAUCCUGGUGGCGAGUGGCGAACGGGUGAGUAAUAUAUCGGAACGUGCCCAGUCGUGGGGGAUAACGCAGCGAAAGCUGUGCUAAUACCGCAUACGAUCUAAGGAUGAAAGCGGGGGAUCGCAAGACCUCGCGCGAUUGGAGCGGCCGAUAUCAGAUUAGCUAGUUGGUGGGGUAAAGGCCCACCAAGGCGACGAUCUGUAGCUGGUCUGAGAGGACGACCAGCCACACUGGAACUGAGACACGGUCCAGACUCCUACGGGAGGCAGCAGUGGGGAAUUUUGGACAAUGGGCGCAAGCCCGAUCCAGCAAUGCCGCGUGCAGGAUGAAGGCCUUCGGGUUGUAAACUGCUUUUGUACGGAACGAAACGGCCCUUUCUAAUACAGGGGGCUAAUGACGGUACCGUAAGAAUAAGCACCGGCUAACUACGUGCCAGCAGCCGCCGUAA